This 206-nucleotide ribosomal RNA is filed under the name uncultured bacterium. Its description in RNAcentral is "partial 16S ribosomal RNA". It matches the Rfam family "Bacterial small subunit ribosomal RNA", at positions 568 to 774 of the family's 1533-position model. The record is from RNAcentral.
AGCGCAGGCGGUCUUUUAAGUCUAAUGUGAAAGCCUUCGGCUCAACCGAAGAAGUGCAUUGGAAACUGGGAGACUUGAGUGCAGAAGAGGGCAGUGGAACUCCAUGUGUAGCGGUGAAAUGCGUAGAUAUAUGGAAGAACACCAGUGGCGAAGGCGGCUGUCUGGUCUGCAACUGACGCUGAGGCUCAAAGCAUGGGGAGCAAACA